GGCAUUCAGUUUUUUCAUUAACAGUUUUCAUUCUUGGUUCCACCAUGUGACAGUAAAGAAUAUUGUAUUUAUUGAGGGCAUUAACCAUAUAAAGUCCCAAUUCUUUUGGAUUGGAGUCUCCACAUUCUGCAUAUUCUGCAAAAGGUGAUAAUCUAAUUCCAACUCUUUCUGCUCCUAUCUCAUUGGAAACAGCUUCAACAACUUCCAAAGGAAAUCGGCAACGGUUCUCAAGGGAUCCACCAUAUUCAUCUGUUCUAUCAUUCACUUUAUCUUUCAUGAAUUGUUCAAGUAUAUAGCCAUGAGCUCCGUGGAUUUCAACCCCAUCAAAUCCUGCAAUUUGCAUCCCAUUGAGUAUUAGAUAUAAUUGUAAAAUGUUCCCUCUAAAGAAACAAAAAGUUCAAUGUCUGAAAAUUUUGUAUUAUGAUACGUUGAAUAAUUUUUUAGUUUUGUAGACAUUUCAAAAGAUCAGUGAAGUUACCAGCUUCAAUGGCAUUUCUUGCUGCAAGUCUGAAGUCAUUAACAAGGUUAGGAAUUUCAUCAGUCCUUAACCGCCUUGGUGGUGUGAAUUUUGCUACAUCAAUACCAUUACUUCGAAUUUGUGGUGUGAGUGGCUUGUCUGUAGAAGAUAUUGGUGCUUGUCCAUUUGGCUGAUACACUGUUGAGAAUGAACAUAAAAAAUGGGCAUACAGUGAGCGUUUACAUCACAAGCAUGGACAUUUAUAAACCAAAAAAUCAGAAUGUAGUUUCCCCCUUAAUUAAUAAUACUCAAUAACAACCUCCCACACCAAUCAUAUCCAUUUUACUGUAAGCAAUGGUAGACUCCUCUAUUAAUUGAUGCCAAAAAUAUACUUAUUUGAGCGUCAGGUUGACAACAAAGGCAACAUGACACAUUAUUAGCCAAUAGAGCUUGAGCUGCUUAUUAUUUACCAAUUGAUUAAUCAAGUUUCCUGACUUAGUGUAAGGUGUGCUACUCCUUCCUACUGUCCUAGUAUAUAUCAUACAUUCAUAUCAUGUUUUCUGCUGCCAAUUUCUUGCAGAAAAUCCUUCUAGUCUACAAUCACAUUUUGACAAAACUGUUUUUGCAGAAAAGAACAGUUAGAAGCGGUUCAAUCAGCAAUUAAGCUCAAAUCAACAAAAUUCCCCAUUUAUGUUAUGUUAGAAUCAUAUUAGGCCUGUGUGUUUUAAAUUACAGUCUGUAACCACAAUUGCAGCCGUAUUUGAGGCCACAACUGUGUCGCAACCACAAUUUCAAAGGCUUUGGUCAUAUUUUCCCACAUUUUGCAGCAACUGCAAUUUAAAGCCAUAGUAUUGAAUUCAAAAAGAAAAUUGGAUCAAUUAAUUGAUAAUUUGAGGAAAUACUACUACAUACCAGAAUCAGAAACUCUUCCAACAUGCCAAAUCUGACAGAAGAAAGUAGCACCUUUAGCAUGAACAGCAUCCACAAUGGGUUUCCACGCCUCAACGUGCUCUUUAGUCCAAAUACCCGGUGUGUCUGGAUACCUUCACAAAAUAACAUACAUAAAAACACAGUAAUUUAAUCAGCACAAUUUAUUUAUCUAUAAUAAGAAACAAAACUGUAAGCACAAUUAUGAUAACUAAAUGAAAUUAGAGUGAUUAGUUGGUAAUAUUGACCCACCCUUGAGCUGUAUCAGAGACACCGGUAGCUUCAGUUAUGAGAAGACCACCGUUAGAACCGGUGGCUCUCUGAGAGUAAUAGAGGAUAGCAUGUGGUUGAGGAACGUUGCCAUAGGAUCUCUGUCUAGUCAAAGGUGCCAAAACAACUCUGAAAUAAUAAAGUACAGUAAUUGAGUAAAUUACACAAACACUUGGUGUGCGAUUUGAAAUUCAACUUAAAUGAUGAAUAAACAGAUAAAAUAGUACCUAUGAGCUAGACUGAAUUUUCCCAUUUGGUAGGGAGUGAUAAGUGGAAUAGGAUCAGAUUCAACAACACCAGCCAUUUUUAGUUGAUUAAGUGAUACUAGUCUAUUACAAUUGAUUAAAUUAUGAAGUUGAAGUGUUUGAACUUUGAAGUGUUUUAUUUAUAGUGAAACUAAAAGAGGAAAGUGAUGGUGGCUUCUUUUUAUUUAUUUGUACGCAAUCAUCACAAGCUGGUAUCGGGGUUGAGUUAAGUCCAACUCCUAAAAUAGUAUCAGAGUUAAGCCUCUUUGAGAUGGUUGAUCAUCUGUUAUCAAGUUUCCGUCAUUAGAACCAUCUACUAUCAUUUAUAUCUAUACACCGGAUAUGUAUUAAUCAGAGAUAGACGAUUAUAAGUCUACAAGUUUUGUAGAGUUGAUUUUGAUUUUAAGAUAUAAGUUGGUUUUGGUGAGUGACGCGGGUGAUUGCGUUGCAUGCUCGUCUGGUCUGGGGAUUAGUUCCAAACCGCAGUCCAAUUUGACUUAAUUGAGAUCACAUAAUAUUUUCUUUAUCAAAUAUUGUUGCGAAUAAUUGCUUGAUAAUUGAAUUAGUACGCAUAUAGUAGUAGGUCACUCCAUGACCGCACAACAAUAGAGUAGAAAGAAAGACAGGCCAUCAACUUGCCUUGCCCUUGCCCCCACCGUUCAGUUAUUUGCUUUAGUCAAAUAAUACAUACAUACAUACAUGCAUGCAUGUGCUUUCCACAUUUAACAAAGUGGGUGUCGGAUGUAAUGAGAUUUUCUGUUGACGCAGAUAUAAAUGUCUGAGAUCACUUUAUUAGAAACCGAGUUAAAAUCUAAACUGUUGAACUUGGUAGAAAAGAUCGCGGUUUGAUCCCUCACAACUGUAAUUGGGAGGGGGCUGAAAGCCUGAAACCAUUUGAUGCAAGAACUGUGACGCCGAACCAGAUUAAACCGUCAACUGGACCAGAUAAAAAAAAUUGUUAAUAUGUAUUACCUUUACAAGUUACAAUGAUGAAUCCAGAUUCAUGAAUAGAAGAAUCUGUAGCACCCUUUAUUUUAAUGAAAAACUUUGGACAGCAAUUUUUUUGACUUGAUUAAAGAAGUGGCAUUGUUACUUGAGUAAUUUAACUAUUUAAUUCGGGGUUCGAUCUUUGAUGGUACAUAUGAAACCAUUUAAAUAAAUCUUAAUUACAUAGAAUGAUUAGUCUCUACAAUCAUAUGAAGAGAUAUUUUAGUUUUUAAUGAACCGUAGAUACUUUAGUUUAUAUAAAAUAUGACUUUACUUCCUCCAAUCUUAAUUAUAAAUAAAAAUUCAUUUUUUAGAUAUAAUAAAUAAUUGAUGUAUCUGACCAUUAUAUAGUUCAAAUAUAUCAGUUAUUCAAUAUAUCUAAAAAAUAAAGUUUUGUCUAUAAUUAAAACCCGAAGGAACAUUUAACCAAAAAAAAAAAAACGAGGGAACAUAUGUAUAAUGUACUUCUCUAAUAAUUGGUCUAGGUUCGUCUGCUUUGGACGUGUUGACUGCCACAAAAUAAUUGUUGGUUGGCAUAGUUACACAUUUUUUUCCAUUUUACUUAGAAUUUGAUUUGUCCCGCGCCCUAACUCAAUCUUACAAAAACUAAUAUGAAACUCUUAACAAUACACAAUCAUUGUAAUAAAAAUUUACACAUGCAUUUAAUCACUGUCACUUUGAGAUCACAAAAAAAUUACACAUGCAUUUUAGGAGCAUCCGAGUAUAUGCAAAUAUUUGUCUUUAUAGUCAUUUUGAGUGAUAUUAGUUCUUAACUUUUUCUUUGGGUACAUAAACUAGUAUAUGAUUAGUAUAACUUUUUGAGGAUCACACUUUCUUUUAUAAAAUUCUAACUCAUAUUCAAAACAUAGUGAAAAAACAGUUCUGGAUACUAAAAUAGUCCUAGCAAAGAAGUAUGAAAAGAAUAAACAUAAAAAUAGAUAAGAAUCACAAUUCUUAUUUUAAUGACCCAAUUUUUCUUACUAGCUACUUUAUCGCAGAAACUAAUACUAUUCGAGACACAAUCAGACACUAAAUAUAAAUAUUGUUCUGAUACCAACUUUAUUACAAAAUGUGUUGGAUGCUAAAACAUCAUUCAAGAAAAGGAUAGUCAGUAUAACCAAGAACUGGAUCAGGACUGUAGAAUGUCUCCCUGUAAUACUUAUUUAGAGGAGCAUUAAGUGCAAAUCUCUUCGGCAAAUCUGGAUUAGAUAUGAAAUAACGACCAUAAGCAAUAAGAUCUGCUCUAUUCUCAGCAAUAGCAUUGUUCCCAUCUUGUCUAUCAUAACCUCCUGUAACUAUGAAAGUUCCAUGGAAGGCCUUUCUCAUUGGCAUUAGGCUGUGAGAGAAUUCAGUUUCCAUUCUUGGUUCUACCAUUUGACAGCAUAGAAUACCAUAUUUAUUGACAGCAUUAACCAUAUAAAGUCCUAAUUCUAGGGGAUUUGAGUCCCCACAUUCUCCAAAUGUUGAUAAAGGUGACAAUUUUAUUCCAACUCUUUCUGCACCUAUCUCAUUUGCAACAGCUUCAACAAUUUCCAAAGUAAAUCGACAACGGUUCUCAAGGGAUCCACCAUAUUCAUCUGUUCUGUCAUUUGCUUUAUCUUUCAUGAAUUGCUCAAGAAGAUAGCCAUGAGCUGCGUUGAUCUGAACGCCGUCAAAACCUACAAUUUGCACCACAACAAGUAUCUAAAAUGUCCUAUUCGACGUUAAGUGUUUGAAUCAACAAAUUUGAUGACAAUUUUUUUUCCGUCUUUAAUUUUCGUCGUCAUUGGCUUAUUUCUACUAUAUCAAUAUUCUACUGUCUCUUAUAUUCAAGCAUUUUGGAGAGAUUUGUAUAUAUCAAUGAAGUAAUUACCAGCUUCGAUGGCAUUUCUUGCAGCAAGUCUAAAGUCAUUGACAAUAUUAGGAAUUUCUUCUGUCCUUAGCCUCCUUGGUGGUGUGAACUGUGAUAUUACAACACCAUCACCUCCAAUUUGUGGUGUGAGUAGCUUGUCUGUAGAAGAUAUUGGUGCUUGCCCAUUUGGUUGAUAAACUGUUUGAUAAAUAGUAAGGAAAAUGGGCAUAUAAAAUAAAAAUAAAAAUCAUGUGUAUAAACAAAUGUAUAUGAUAGUAUGGAAAAUGGGCAUAAGAUACAUCAUACAUUGAGUGUGCAUGCAUGUCAUGUUAUAACAAAUAUAUACAUAUACCAGAAUCAGAAACUCUUCCAACAUGCCAAAUUUGACAGAAGAAUGUGCCGCCUUUGGCAUGAACAGCGUCCACGAUGGGUUUCCACGCUUCAACUUGCUCUUUUGUCCAUAUGCCAGGUGUGUGUGGAUACCUUCAUUACAAUUAGUCGAAGAUAGUUAUAGAAUUGGUUACUAUAUUAAAUUAUUAAUUGCAAGUUAGUUCAGAUCAGUUAGAUUAAUAGGGAUUACUUUGCAGUAAUUCGCUGCGAUUCUGUUAAAUUGACCGCAAAUUUAAAUAUGCACUAACUACUACUAAGUAAUAUUAGUUGGCAUGAUGCAUCGAUCAGUUCGAGUUGAAGCAAAUUAAGCAUGAAGAGUGAGCAAUGAAUGAAAGGAAAAAAGUGUUACCCUUGAGCAGUUUCAGAGACGCCAGUAGCUUCAGAUAUGAGAAGACCUCCAUUAGAGGUCCUUUGAGAGUAAUAGAGAACAGCAUGAGGUUGAGGAACGUUGUUGUAGGAUCGUUGUCUAGUCAACGAUGCCAAAACUACUCUAAAAUUAAAUUAUUACAUACACAAACACAAACAUAGGAUGAGUGAGUAUUUUAAGCAAUUUUAAUUCGGAAGCAAGGAAUGAAAGCAUAGUAAACAUACCUAUGAGCCAGAUUAAAUUUGCCCAUCUUGUAAGGAGUAAGAAGAGAACUGGGAUCACCAGCCAUAAUUAUAAACUAAUACUACUGAUUAGAAAUGUAAUAAUAAUGAGGAAAAUAUACACUUUACUAUGAAGUUGAAGUUGGUAUUUAUUUUAGACUAAAACUGAAAAGUGGUGGGUGGGGGGGACCUUUAUGCUUGUUUGCUAUUGCGUUAGGUGAAUGAUGUUUACAAUACAUUACAUAUUUUAUGCCUUCUGCAUUAAGGUAUGUCCUGCAUCAGGGCAAGUAAUUUGUGCGUACAUAGCUUCACCCAAAUCUAAAUCCCAAAUCCUAAUUUAUGCCUUCUUCAAAGUUUCUUUGGGUGAAAAAUUACACAUGCAUUUUAGGGAGUAUCCGAGUAUAUGCAAAUAUUUGUCUUUAUAGUUAUUUUGAGUGAUAUUAGUUCUUAACUUUUUUCUUUGUGUACAAAAAGAUCCUAUCAGUAUCUUUAUAGUUUUAAAAAAGUUUAACUAGUAAUUUUGAUCUAGUAUAUGAUUAGUAUAACUUUUUGAGGAUCACACUUUCUUUUCUAAAAUUCUAACUCAUAUUCAAAACAUAGUGAAAAAAACAGUUCUGGAUACUAAAAUAGUCCUAGCAAAGAAGUAUGAUAAGAAUUAAUAUAAAAAUAGAUAAGCAUCACAAUUCUUAUUUUAAUGACCAAAUUUUUCUUACAAGUUCCCUUCGCAGGAACUAAUACUAUUCAAGACACAGUCAGACACUAAAUAUGAGUAUUGUUCUGGUACCAACUUUAUCACAAAAUGUGUUGGAUGCUAAAACAUCAUUCAAGAAAAGGAUAGUCAGUAUAACCAAGAACUGGAUCAUGACUAUAGAAUGUCUCCCUGUAAUACUUAUUUAGAGGAGCAUUAAGUGCAAAUCUCUUCGGCAAAUCUGGAUUAGAUAUGAAAUAACGACCAUAAGCAAUAAGGUCUGCUCUAUUCUCAGCAAUAGCAUUGAUCCCAUCUUGUCUACCAUAACCUCCUGUAACCAUGAAAGUGCCAUUGAAAGCCUUUCUCAUUGGUAUUAGGCUGUGAGAGCAUUCAGUUUCCAGUCUUGGUUCUACCAUUUGACAGUAUAGAACACCAUAUUUAUUGACAGCAUUAACCAUAUAAAGUCCUAAUUCUAGGGGAUUUGAGUCCCCACAUUCUCCAAAUGUUGAAAAAGGUGACAAUUUUAUACCAACUCUUUCCGCACCUAUCUCAUUUGCAACAGCUUCAACAAUUUCCAAAGUAAAUCGACAACGGUUCUCAAGGGAUCCACCAUAUUCAUCUGUUCUGUCAUUUGCUUUAUCUUUCAUGAAUUGCUCAAGAAGAUAGCCAUGAGCCCCGUGGAUCUCAACCCCGUCAAAACCUACAAUUUCACCACACCAAGUAUCUAAAAUGUCCUACUAUUAGAAAAAGUUGAAAUAGUGACAAUGACUGAAAAAUGUGAAAUACACCUUUAAUUUCGAUGUUAAGUGUCUGAGACAACAAAUAUGAUGAUAAUUUUUUUUUCCGUCUCCAAUUUUUGUCAUCAUUGACUUACUUCGAUUAUCAUUACUCUAGUGUCUCUUAUAUUGAAGCAUAUGGAUUAAAGAUUGGUAAAUGUUAAUUACCAGCUUCAAUGGCAUUUCUUGCAGCAAGUCUAAAGUGAUUGACAAUAUUAGGAAUUUCUUCAGUCCUUAGCCUCCUUGGUGGUGUGAACUGUGGUAUUUCAACACCAUCACCUCCAAUUUGUGGUGUGAGUAGCGGCUUGUCUGUGGAAGAUAUUGGUGCUUGCCCAUUUGGUUGAUAAACUGUUUGAUAAAUAGUAUGGAAAAUGGGGAUACAGUACAUAUCAUGUUUAGAACAAAUGUAUAUAAUAAAUUUAAGUGACACUAACGAUCAUUUUACAACUGUCCUGACGAAAUUUGAACUCGGCAUUUUGAGAUUGUAAUGUUAAACUACCACUGAGCUAGCUCCUGAAGUGUUAUGUAGAUGAUACAUGUAAUUAAACUAAUGAAAAUAAAAUCAGUAUCAUUCAGUAACAAAAAUCUAAGUCCUGCCAAAUAUAGUAUUGAGAAAAAUCAGAAAAAUUAGUUAAAUAAUUGCUAAUUAAUUUGAUAAAGUUUAGUACAUACCAGAAUCAGAAACCCUUCCAACAUGCCAAAUUUGACAGAAGAAUGUACCGCCUUUGGCAUGAACAGCAUCGACGAUGGGUUUCCACGCUUCGACUUGCUCUUUUGUCCAUAUGCCAGGUGUGUUUGGAAACCUAUAUUACAAUUAGUUGAAGAUAGUUAUAGAGUUAGUUAGCAUUAAUCGCAAGUUAGUUCAAAUUUGUUAGUUUAGUCACGGUUACUAUAUAAAUUGUAUAUAUCAUAUACUCAUAGUUAUAGAGUUAGUUAGUAUUAAUCGCAGUUAGUUCAAAUUUGUGAUUCUGUCAAAUUUACCGUCAAUUCAAAUAUGCGCCAUCAAGUCAUAAUUAGUUGUCAUGGACUCAUGAUGCAAUUGAUCGGUUCGAGUUGAAGCAAAUUAAGCAUGAAGAGCAAUGAAUGAAAUGAAAAAAAGUGUUACCCUUGAGCAGUUUCAGAGACGCCUGUAGCUUCAGAUAUGAGAAGACCUCCAUUAGAGGUCCUUUGAGAAUAAUAGAGGACAGCAUGAGGUUGAGGAACAUUAUUGUAGGAUCUUUGUCUAGUCAACGGUGCCAAAACUACUCUAAAAUUAAAUUAAUAAAUUGUUACAUACAUAGACACAGGGUGAGUGAAAAUUUUAAUCAACUUUAAUUGGUAAGCAAGCAUAGUAAACAGAAUGAAAACAUAGUAAAUAUACCUAUGAGCUAGAUUAAAUUUGCCCAUCUUGUAAGGAGUAAGAAGAGAAAUGGGAUUACCAACCAUAAUUAUAAACUAACUAAUACUACUGAUUAGAAAUAUAAUAAUAUAAUAAUAACUAAUUAGGAAAAUAUAGACUUGAGUAUGAACUAUGAAGUUGAAGUUGGUAUUUUUUUUUUUUUUAGACUAAACCUGAAAAGUGGUGGGUGGGGACCUUUAUGCUUGUUGCUAACGUUUGUUGCAUUAUUGCCUUUGAUCUUGCAGCACAAUUUGACACAUGUGAUGUAAGUAAGAACAAAUAUUAGUGUUUUCUUUUCACUACUACGUCUUUGAAUCAUCCUUGACCAUUCAUUCAUACAAAUAAAUCAUCGUUGUUCAAAUUCAAACGACCCUACUACAAGAUUAGAAUUACCAACACGGCACCAACAACGACUUCGACUAAAAAUGGUAAGGGUUUUGGACCUCUUAAACAAUGGUCAGGUGGGGAUUGUUGAUGUUGAUUUUUGUGUGCAAAAAUCAUUUCUCUAGAAUUAAUUAGAACGGCAUCAACAAGAUUACAUGUGUUAAAUUUUGAGGCGACAAAAAAUAGAGUUUGAAUGUAAGAUUAAAUGGAGUAUUAUUAAUAAGAUCAACAUAUUCAAUAACCAUGUUAAAAAUAAUUUUAACAACAAUAAGUUGAUGAUGAAAAUAUAAUAACAACAUGCAAUAAUUGUAGCAACCUUUCCUUAAAAAAUCUGUACUAACCCAUACUAAAAUAAUCUUCAUAUCAACACAAAACUCAUGUUAUAUAACUUGUUCAAAAAAAAAACUCAUGUUAUAUAAAAAAAAUCAGGGAGUAUAUAAUAGUUUUACACACUGUGUGUCUCCUAGCAGAAAAAUAUCAGAAGAAUCAAUAACAAAAACCAAUGUGCAAGUGGAAUAACACUUAUUCAAUAUGGAGGUUCAAUACAACAAUGUUUUCUUCAAUAUGGAGGUUCAAUGUUAUGUUAUUAUAUACUCCCUUAUUUGAUUUUUCAUGCACCUGACUAUAAAUUUCAAAUAUAUGUUAUUAAUACCGAGAUUGGAAUUGAACUUGAGACAUAAAACAUAUAUUGAAGAAAGAAAAUACUUUUGGCAAGAAAAUUACCAAAGUAAUUCCAAAGCACUUUGUACAAUAGACCCAAUCCAACAAAGCAUACAUUGUCUCCUUACAUCCAGUAGCAUUAUCCUGAAAUUUUAUAGUGCAAGCAAGAAAGUGUUGGAUAAGAAAAUUCAAUUGUGAUGAGAACAAAACUUUAGAACUUUUCUUUUGUUCAAAUCUAAGUGUAAUCUUCAUAAAAUUUCAAUGAGUCAGUUUUCUUAAUUCUCUAACUAAUGCUUCUAUAAAAUUUUCCUAACAAUUUCAAAAUUUGUAAACAGUGUUAUACAAAUAUCAAAUUAACAAACCAACACAUGAACAUAAAUCAUUUUAUUGGUGUAGAAUCUGUAGAUUCUUUCUUAUUAUGCUUCUUCUUGUUCUUGUUCUUAGUCUUCUUAGUCUUCUAUUUCUUCUCAGUAAAGCUAAAGCCUUGAGUUGAGCCUUCUUGAGUCGAACCUUCAUCAAGACCCCUUGCAACCAUGGCCGACUGGCGGGCUAAAAGUGCAUGCUGAUGGUUUAGACAGAGAUUCAUGUAUUAGAUUGUUUAUAUAAUUGAAAUAUGCACAAAGAAAUUAAAUUUGUGAAACUUGUAUCAAAAGCAUUGUAAAAACUUACCUCAUCAACUACGAUUUCAUCGUCAGAAUCGCGAUAAUGAUAAUCAGGCGUACUCUGUCCUUCCUGAUAGAGGACAGUGACAGUGACACAUCGUUCCGCCUCCAUUAUUUUCCAACAGAACACAACUAUAAACAAAAUUUCAAAGAUUGUAAACCCUAAUUCAAUUAUCGUAAACCCUAAUCACACAAAAUUUCAUAACAGAUUGAAAAAAUAAUGAAAAUACCCUAGCAAAGCAGCGAUCAAGAAUAUGGAGAACGAUAAAGUGGUGAAAAAACGAACUCUGAAGAAGGAAGAAAACGCGCGAUGAUGAUUUAUCAGCAACUGAACAAAAAGUAAAGUUAAAUGUGUGUAUAUAUAUAUAUACACUCAAAAUGGGUCGGUUAUACCCGGCNNNNNNNNNNNNNNNNNNNNNNNNNNNNNNNNNNNAAAAAAAAAAAAGAUUUAAUGUGAAAGAAAAAAUAAUUUAAUUAAUAUAAAGGUGAUUGAAACUAUUUGGAUAUUUUUGAAUUGGUCCUUCAAACUAUAUUUUAUUUUUUUUAUGGUUUAAAUGUAAUUUUAGUCCAUUUUUUUGGUUAAAUAAUAUGAUAAAGGAUUAACUUGUAUACAUGAGUUUUCUCCGGCUCGAUUACUCCAUAACCUUCUUACCUCGAAUAACUUGCUUAUAGGGAUGGCAACAGGUAGGGUCGGGUGCGGGUUUCACACUUCCCAAACCCACACCCUAAACCACCACCUGAACUUGAUCUCAAACUCAAAAGUUGUUCGGGUGGCAAAAUAAAACACACAUCCACACUCGUUAAGUUCGGAUUUUUCCACCCAAACCCGAACCUGCAGCAAGAACACGCAGAAUUCACAGAUUAUUUCAUAAUUAGUUUGAGGUAGCAAUGACAUCUUCAUAUUUUGAAUGACUAGUAGUGCAGGCAAAAACAGAACAACAGCUACAACAAAAAUAGAAAAGAGAAAUCCAAGUAUGAUUCAAAUAAGGGAAAACAUUGGCUUAGUUUCACAAACUAAACCAAACAUUUCUCUUACGUUCUCUCUUCAAUUGUCGUAGACUCGUAGUUCUUGUGCUUAAUUACGAAUAAACAAACUUGCUCCAAGCAAUUUAAAACAUUAUAUAUGAAGAAAAUGGAACUAACCUAAUUGUCACUCCAGCCUUAACAAUAACUCAAAUGCUAUAGUCACUCAAAUAAUCUAUAAAAGAAUCCUAUAUACAUAUAAUUAGGCUUUGGUUAGUUAGUGAGGUAUUUAAGGAACAAUCUAUGUCUAAGUAACGUAUGGUUAGUUUCUGAUCUUAAAGUUCACAUUUAAUUUUCAUCUUAAGCUCCUUGAAAUCAUAGCUUUAAACCUGCACUCUCUAGAUUAUUUUAGAUUGAACGAAGCCACUAGAUUAGGUCUAGUGGUAAGGAAUUUGGGUAGCUAGUAUGCUAGAGGUCGUAAGUUCGAUACAUCAAUACCGUGAAAAAAAAGAAAAGAAGACAAUUUAUUUUUAUUCCAGUGACCAACUUCACUACAAAAUCAAUAUGCAAGUGGAAAAAAGCUUAUUUAGUAUGGAGGUUCCACAGUUCUAUUCUACAACAUUGUUUUCUUCAUUCAAGAAUGGAUAGUCAGUAUCCGACAACCGGACAGAAGUAUAGAAUGUUUCCCUGUUAUACUUGUUGAGAGGAGCAUUAAGUGCAAAUCUCUUUGGCAAAUCUGGAUUAGCUAAGAACAAACGACCGUAGACAACGAGGUCUACUUUGUUUUCAGCUAUAGCAUCGAUCCCAUCUUGUCUAUCAUAAGUUCAUAACCUCCGGCAACCAUGAAAGUUCCAUUAAAAGCCUUUCUCAUUGGCACCAAGCUGUAAGGGCUUUCAAUCGUUUCAUUACCUGAUUUUAUUCUUGGUUCAACCAUAUGACAAUAAAGAAUAUUGUAUUUAUUGAGAGCAUUAACCAUAUAAAGUCCCAAUGGCAUUUGGAUCGGAGUCUGCACUUUCAAUCAAAUUUUCUCCAUACACAAGAUUUUAUUUUUUUGGUCAAGUAGUCCAAUGGCUAUAAUUAUACCUUAAGGCGAAUAAGUAGAGCAUCAGGGGUUCAAAUUUCGACUUCUGCAUAUAAAAUGUGAUGUCUUGCCAACUAAAUUAAGUUUACAAGAAUGUUUGCAUAUGCAAGAUUUAAUUGCCGUCAUUGUGUGAUGACUUAAUUAUAAAAAUAAUAUAAUGUCUCAUGGAAAGCCAUCUAAAAUAUAUGUGUAGCAAGAUUAGGUCGUGUUACGAAUCAUGGAAUCGAAGGGAUGAAGAUCAUAGUGCACAGGAGUAUUCAUGUGGAAGACACUCAUAAGAAUUCAUAUUAAAUGAAUAUAGAUUGAUAAAAGAAUGAUGAAAAUAGUACAAUGGUGGCUCUUAUAUAGAGCAAUAUUGAAGAUUAACCAACUAACCAUCUAAUAACCAACUCUAACAAACUAAUGGAAAUUCUAACUAACUAUAUUCUUAACAGGUGGCAUUUUGUUUGCUAACCAUUAAGAAGUCCCACAUCAAUGGCCAUUGGAUUCUCCUCUGAAGCAUAGGUAGUUGCUGGGGCUGCGCGAUCAGCAGUGGACCUUGAUUCUGUGCCAACAAAUGGACUCCUUGUCUGAGCCGCAACACUAGAGUCUACCUCCAUAGCAGAAGCUCUGGGAAGUGAUGCUGGCUGCACCUCCACAUCUGGAUAAGCUGCCUUAAACCUCGCCCGCAGCCCUUCAUCAACUAACCUUACACCAUUCAAUUGAUUACCAAGAGACAUCCACCCUGCAUGAGUAUUGUGAUUGCGAGCAAACAACUCCAGCUUUCUUGUUCUUGGACUUAUUCUCUCCAACAAAGGAUACAUCUCGUCUGGCUUUCGGCUAGUUUCCCGGACUUCAGAAACAAUAACAUCAGUAUCAAUGUUUCGGUUUACUUCAGGGCUGCCCUUUAUUCCAACAAGACAAUGUUCCUUGGUGUGAUUGAGCCAAUGGCCCGUACGUCCAGUUCUAAUUAUUCGCUGAAGUUGAUUUGUUUUCACCCAAAUGAUCUCCUCAACACAUUUAUAUCCCCAAAGUUCUAAGCAUUCUCGUCCAAGUUCCAUCGCACGCCCAGUGACCCAUAGAAAAAUUAGCCCAUUAGUUUGCAGAGCAGGGACAUUAAGAGCGCGCAUUUCAUCAUCAGCCAUUGUACCAUAAGGCAGCUCCAUGUGAAUGUCCCACGGUGGAUCAGCCAUUAUUACUCCAAACUCACCUAAUAUGUCCAUUCUAAAGUUACGUAUAUCACAGUUGAUCCAUUGUGGUUCCCCAAGUUCCAGUUCAGAACAAUACUCGGCACGCUGCUGCCUCAGUGGUUUGGAAGGAAGAGGAACACCAAUCAUUGUUGGAGGCACAUCAGGUGUAGGGUCAUACUCAUAGUGAACAUACUUACACGUCUUCCUGUGCCGACAACUACCAAGAAACAAACAGUCUCCCAAAUUAAUGUCAGUAUGAAGAGCAAUGAUUCGUCUAAAAUGAACCUUAUCACAAGCUACAAAGGAACCAGUCUGGCGUCGACAAUCUUCUUUUGUCAAUAAGUUACAAUUUUGCCUCACCUUAGAACCACCUAUAGUUUUGAACUUAGCAGCUUCAGCAAUCUCCCUUGCAGUUGGUCGAUGAAUUAAAUCGAAAAGCUCCUCGCCAUUUUUACAUGUUUGCAUCUCCCUAAACGAUUUCUUAUUCAAUAUAGCCUCAACCUCCUUCAAAUCCUCAUCAUAGGUAUUUGCAUUAACACUACUACUACUACUACUCCCUGAUGCAUUUGGCCCCAAUGGGAGUCUAUGCAUACUACUAAUACCUCUUGGUCCGCCACCAGAAAGCAUUGGCGGUAUCCCUGACAUGUGAGGGUCACCUUGAGACAUCCACAUAUCAGAAAUUGGCCUCCUUCCAAUCAUAACAUCAUUCACAUUCGCGGCGCUACUACCGGUAUUGAUUUGAUUGGUGUUCACAUCACCGAAACUAGAUUCAUUUUGCUGCUGCUGUGCAGUUUCAGCAACCAUGGUUAAAGGAGUAAUUUUGUCUGAUUCUGGAUUUGUAGUUGUUUUAGGGUUUUGAGGUAGUUGUUGUUGUUGGAGUGAUGAUUUGGGAGGAGGAGGGGGUGUAGGAGCAAAAGGACGAUGGUUAAAAGAAGAAAGAACUUUGAGAGAAAGGUCAAGAGAAGAAACGAUAUUAGGUAUAAUGGUUUGUACAGAAGAAAGCAUGUUCAUAUGUGAGUUAUGUUGGGUUUCUAUGCGUGCUUCAAGUUUUUGUCUUUUAUCUUUAAUACUGUUAAUAGCUUCAUCUGAUGAUUGUGGCGUCUCCAUUUCUGACUGCUAGUGGUGGUGGUGGCCUCCGGUUGGGUUUUCCGGCGACUCUUCUUCACUUUUUUCUUGUUUCUGAUACCUCUAAACUUAUAUUAAUACUUAUUAACGGCGCGGACUAGGGGAUAUUGGAUUGAUUUUCAAAGAUAAUUUUGGAUAAAAAAAUCUUCAAGAUUUUAAAAGAUUCAAAGAUAAUUUUGCAAAAAAAGAUAUUAAAGAUUUUAAAAGAUUUUGUGAGAUUAUAUUUAUUUUUUAAAAACAAAAACUUUCAUGGUAAUGGUAAUGAUAAAACUAAUAAGGUCUCGAUUUUGUUUGUUGGUCCUGUUAUUUCAAUUAUUUUUUUUUUUUACUUUUGAUUCCCAUCUUAUUUUAGGUUCAAAUAUAUAUCAUUAUUCACAUUUUAUUAAGGCAAAAUUACACCAGAGAUCUUUUAUUUUAUUUAUUUGUAACAUUAUGUUAAAAAUAAAUUAGAUAAAAGAUUAACUCGUACACAUUUAUAAAAAUAAAAGAUAUGUGCACUGAGAAAUAUAAGAUAAAGAUUAAUCACACGGAGUCUUUAUAUGAUUUAUUAUAAACUAGCGGAUCAGGCAGGUGCGUUCUACGUCUGCCUGUGUCUAACUUAUGUCCAAAAAAAAAUAUUUCUUAUAUUAUGGUCAGUUUGUUAAUAAAAGAUUCUUGUUGUUAAAAAAUAAUAUGUGUCUUAUGUUAUGGUGAGUUUGUUAAUAAUUUUUUUUGUUGCUAAUAAAAAAAGCAAGGGUAUUUUUGGUAUUAUGAAAAGUCCACACCAAAAUUCAUGUAUCCUCUUUACAUAUUAUUAUAUAUAUAUAGUAUAGAUAGAUAUAGAUAUAGAUAAACUAGUUUAGAAUUUCGGCGUUUCCGUGGUUAGACAUUCAAUAAAAUUGUAGUAAUGACAUGAGACAUCCACUUAUAUUUUAACAAUAAUUUAUAAAAAAAAAUUAAAAGAUUUUAUUUUAAAUAAAUUUUUAGAAUAACAAACUUAAAUAUCGAUUAAAAAUCGACUCAAUCCCUCCCACCCUCAUAUAUAUGAGACACAGAAGAUUUGGAAUAACUAGUAAGAGAUUCGUGCUGUUAUGGACCAUAUAUAGUUAAGAAAACUCCUAAAAUUUUACCUUCAAUAACAUGUUUAUUUGAAGUCAUGCUGUGAUCUUUGAAGUUUAGAAUUGAAGUUGAAGUUUUGUUGAAAGAGUUGUGAUUUGUAUUGUGAAUAUCGAUAGAUUUAUAAACUUGAAAAUGUAACAUGGUGACAAAUUCUGAAAAAAUGUAAGAUUCACUAAUAUAAAAGACAUAAUAUUCAUUGCUGGUACAUUUAUGACAAUGAGAAGACAACUACAAAAUAAAAUAUAGUCACAUGAUAAAAGUAUUUAAAAAGACAAAAAAAGGGUGAUUAAAUAGAUAUAGAUAUAAUUGUCAAAAAAAAAAAAUAGAUAUAGAUAUUAAAAUUGAACUAUGGUAAGAUAAAAGAAAGUUGAAAUAGCAUACAUCAUUGUUGUUUACCAUAAAUAUAUACCAAAACAUAGUAGUUCAAAUCCUAAAACGUUGGUCGAGUGAUUUACAUCAAUAAGAACUUGAAAAAUGUUACCUUGGUUGAGUCAGUUCUUUCAUUGUUGAAGUUGUUUCUUUUUCAUUCGAGUUGUAUGCAUAUUUGAGUAAAAAUAAACAUGAAUAAAUAACAAUGGAAACAAACUAGCCAUGAAAACAUAAACAGAAGAAACAACCCAAAACCCAAAGGAAGAGAGACUUUUGCAAAGGAAAGUGAAGAUGAGUGAAAGAGAGACAUGUGUUGGGAUAUGCAGAUUGAGUAAAAAAGAGUAGAAAGUACUAUGUGACCAAGUCACAUGUGCCAAAAAUCAAGUCUUCCAUUUCCGUUAGAAUGGAACCAUCCUUUUCAUCUCAUUAGCUUAUAUGGCUUUGGUUAAGAAAUUUACUUAUAUUAGAUUGAUGAUAGAUGCUUUGAAGGUGCUUAAAUUCCUUGUGCUACUGUUUGCGUGAAUAAGGCAAUGAAGGCUACAGAUUGUUUCUAUUGUUCAGAUACAAUUCUGUAUAAAUUCCAAGACCAACCCAUGGCUGCUAGGCUGCUACUUAUAUUUUUAUAGACAUUGCCUUCCCUGGGAUGGUAUAAGGUGACAACGGAUGUGGCGGGUAAUCCUGAUGAAGGAAACUGGGGACUCUCGGUGGUUAUAACUUGUAAGAGAUGCACAGGGAGUGGUGGUGGCAGCUGUAUGUUGGCAAAGGCAAUAAUUUCCACAGUCUGACAUUGCUGAAGCAAUGACCUUUCGUGAAGGAAAUGUUGUUUCUGAAUUUGAUUUGAUCGUCGAAUCUGACUUGUUAAAUGUGAUUACGGCCCUUACAGAUGAUCAAACGCACUCCACAUAUACAGGAGCUAUUGUGGAUGAGUGUAAAAAUCUGUCACACCAGUUUCAUAACUUGCAACUCUUGCACAUUAGGCGCGUAGCUAAACAAGCUGCUCAUUGUUUAGGUAAGUAAGCUUUGUAUUUCCGCUGUCUUGACUUUUGAUUUAUUGUUAGAUUUUAUUUAAUGGAUUUCAAUAUGCAGGUACAUAAUAGUUUUACAAACUGUCUCCCAGCAGAGAAGUAUGAGAAAGCUGAUAAAAAGAGAAGUAUGAGACAAAUCAAUACGGUAAAAACAAGAAGACAAAUCAUUUUUAUUCCAGUGACCAACUUCACUACAAAAUCAAUGUGCAAGUGGAAAAAAGCUUAUCUAAUAUGGAGGUUCCACACAUCUAUGCUACAACAUUGUUUUCUUCAUUCAAGAAUGGAUAAUCGGUAUAACCAAGAACCGGAUCAGAAAUGUAGAAUGACUCCCUUUUAUACUUGUUGAGAGGAGCGUUAAGUGCAAACCUCUUUGGCAAAUCUGGAUUAGCUAAGAACAGACGACCGUAAACAACGAGGUCUGCUUUGUUUUCAGCUAUAGCAUUGAUUCCAUCUUGUCUAUCAUAACCUCCUGCAACCAAGAAAGUACCAUUGAAAGCCUUUCUCAAUGGCACAAGGCUGUGAGGACUUUCGACUGUUACAUUUGAAGAUUUUAUUCUUGGUUCCACCACAUGACAGUAAAGAAUAUUGUAUUUAUUCAGGGCAUUGACCAUAUAAAGUCCUAAUUCUGUGGGAUUGGAGUCUCCAGAUUCUGAAUGUUCUGCAAAAGGUGAUAAUCUAAUUCCAACUUUGUCUGCUCCUAUCUCAUUCACAACAGCUUCAACAACUUCCAAAGCAAACCGACAACGGUUCUCCAGAGAUCCACCAUAUUCAUCUGUUCUAUCAUUCACUUGAUCUUUCAUGAAUUGUUCAAGUAGGUAGCCAUGAGCUCCAUGGAUUUCAACCCCAUCAAAACCUGCAAUUUGCAUAACAUCGAGCAUAUUAGGUGNNNNNNNNNNNNNNNNNNNNNNNNNNNNNNNNNNNNNNNNNNNNNNNNNNNNNNNNNNNNNNNNNNNNNNNNNNNNNNNNNNNNNNNNNNNNNNNNNNNNNNNNNNNNNNNNNNNNNNNNNNNNNNNNNNNNNNNNNNNNNNNNNNNNNNNNNNNNNNNNNNNNNNNNNNCUGUUCUAUCAUUCACUUGAUCUUUCAUGAAUUGUUCAAGUAGGUAGCCAUGAGCUCCAUGGAUUUCCACCCCAUCAAAACCUGCAAUUUGCAUAACAUCGAGCAUAUUAGGUGAUGUUCAAAAUGUCCUAGUGCCCUUUAAAUUUGUACUAUGAUUGAAGCAUUUUUCAGUUUUGCAUAAAUUUGUAAUUGUAAAGAUCCG
This 18331-nucleotide long non-coding RNA is filed under the name Trifolium pratense (red clover). RNAcentral describes it as "long non-coding RNA (TPRA_LNC001145)". The record is from RNAcentral. Lineage: Eukaryota; Viridiplantae; Streptophyta; Magnoliopsida; Fabales; Fabaceae.